UGGGGAAUUUUGGACAAUGGGCGAAAGCCUGAUCCAGCAAUGCCGCGUGUGUGAAGAAGGCCUUCGGGUUGUAAAGCACUUUUGUCCGGAAAGAAAUCCUUGGCUCUAAUACAGUCGGGGGAUGACGGUACCGGAAGAAUAAGCACCGGCUAACUACGUGCCAGCAGCCGCGGUAAUACGUAGGGUGCAAGCGUUAAUCGGAAUUACUGGGCGUAAAGCGUGCGCAGGCGGUUUGCUAAGACCGAUGUGAAAUCCCCGGGCUCAACCUGGGAACUGCAUUGGUGACUGGCAGGCUAGAGUAUGGCAGAGGGGGGUAGAAUUCCACGUGUAGCAGUGAAAUGCGUAGAGAUGUGGAGGAAUACCGAUGGCGAAGGCAGCCCCCUGGGCCAAAUACUGACGCUCAUGCACGAAAAGCGUGGGGAGCAAAACAGGAUUAGAUACCCUGGUAGUCCACGCCCUAAACGAUGUCAACUAGUUGUUGGGGAUUCAUUUCCUUAGUAACGUAGCUAACGCGCGAAGUUGACCGCCUGGGGAGUACGGUCGCAAGAUUAAAACUUAAAGGAAUUGACGGGGUCAUAGCUGUUUCCU
This 588-nucleotide ribosomal RNA is filed under the name uncultured bacterium. RNAcentral's name for it is "partial 16S ribosomal RNA". It matches the Rfam family "Bacterial small subunit ribosomal RNA", at positions 355 to 1375 of the family's 1533-position model. The record is from RNAcentral.